UUAAGCGACUAAGCGUACACGGUGGAUGCCCUGGCAGUCAGAGGCGAUGAAGGACGUGCUAAUCUGCGAAAAGCGUCGGUAAGGUGAUAUGAACCGUUAUAACCGGCGAUGUCCGAAUGGGGAAACCCAGUGCAAUUCGUUGCACUAUCGUUAACUGAAUACAUAGGUUAACGAGGCGAACCGGGGGAACUGAAACAUCUAAGUACCCCGAGGAAAAGAAAUCAACCGAGAUUCCCCCAGUAGCGGCGAGCGAACGGGGAGCAGCCCAGAGUCUGAAUCAGCUUGUGUGUUAGUGGAACGGUCUGGAAAAUCCGACGGUACAGGGUGAUAGUCCCGUACACCAAAAUGCACAGGCUGUGAACUCGAAGAGUAGGGCGGGACACGUGGUAUCCUGUCUGAAUAUGGGGGGACCAUCCUCCAAGGCUAAAUACUCCUGACUGACCGAUAGUGAACCAGUACCGUGAGGGAAAGGCGAAAAGAACCCCGGCGAGGGGAGUGAAAAAGAACCUGAAACCGUGUACGUACAAGCAGUGGGAGCACCUUCGGGUGUGACUGCGUACCUUUUGUAUAAUGGGUCAGCGACUUAUAUUCUGUAGCAAGGUUAACCGUAUAGGGGAGCCGCAGGGAAACCGAGUCUUAACUGGGCGUUAAGUUGCAGGGUAUAGACCCGAAACCCGGUGAUCUAGCCAUGGGCAGGUUGAAGGUUGGGUAACACUAACUGGAGGACCGAACCGACUAAUGUUGAAAAAUUAGCGGAUGACUUGUGGCUGGGGGUGAAAGGCCAAUCAAACCGGGAGAUAGCUGGUUCUCCCCGAAAGCUAUUUAGGUAGCGCCUCGUGAAUUCAUCUUCGGGGGUAGAGCACUGUUUCGGCUAGGGGGUCAUCCCGACUUACCAACCCGAUGCAAACUACGAAUACCGAAGAAUGUUAUCACGGGAGACACACGGCGGGUGCUAACGUCCGUCGUGAAGAGGGAAACAACCCAGACCGCCAGCUAAGGUCCCAAAGUCAUGGUUAAGUGGGAAACGAUGUGGGAAGGCACAGACAGCCAGGAUGUUGGCUUAGAAGCAGCCAUCAUUUAAAGAAAGCGUAAUAGCUCACUGGUCGAGUCGGCCUGCGCGGAAGAUGUAACGGGGCUAAACCAUGCACCGAAGCUGCGGCAGCGACACUAUGUGUUGUUGGGUAGGGGAGCGUUCUGUAAGCCUGCGAAGGUGUGCUGUGAGGCAUGCUGGAGGUAUCAGAAGUGCGAAUGCUGACAUAAGUAACGAUAAAGCGGGUGAAAAGCCCGCUCGCCGGAAGACCAAGGGUUCCUGUCCAACGUUAAUCGGGGCAGGGUGAGUCGACCCCUAAGGCGAGGCCGAAAGGCGUAGUCGAUGGGAAACAGGUUAAUAUUCCUGUACUUGGUGUUACUGCGAAGGGGGGACGGAGAAGGCUAUGUUAGCCGGGCGACGGUUGUCCCGGUUUAAGCAUGUAGGCUGGUUGUCCAGGCAAAUCCGGAUAAUCAAGGCUGAGGUGUGAUGACGAGGCACUACGGUGCUGAAGUAACAAAUGCCCUGCUUCCAGGAAAAGCCUCUAAGCAUCAGGUAACAUCAAAUCGUACCCCAAACCGACACAGGUGGUCAGGUAGAGAAUACCAAGGCGCUUGAGAGAACUCGGGUGAAGGAACUAGGCAAAAUGGUGCCGUAACUUCGGGAGAAGGCACGCUGGUGUGUAGGUGAAGUCCCUGCGGAUGGAGCUGAGACCAGUCGAAGAUACCAGCUGGCUGCAACUGUUUAUUAAAAACACAGCACUGUGCAAACACGAAAGUGGACGUAUACGGUGUGACGCCUGCCCGGUGCCGGAAGGUUAAUUGAUGGGGUUAUCCGUAAGGGGAAGCUCUUGAUCGAAGCCCCGGUAAACGGCGGCCGUAACUAUAACGGUCCUAAGGUAGCGAAAUUCCUUGUCGGGUAAGUUCCGACCUGCACGAAUGGCGUAAUGAUGGCCAGGCUGUCUCCACCCGAGACUCAGUGAAAUUGAACUCGCUGUGAAGAUGCAGUGUACCCGCGGCAAGACGGAAAGACCCCGUGAACCUUUACUAUAGCUUGACACUGAACAUUGAGCCUUGAUGUGUAGGAUAGGUGGGAGGCUUUGAAGCGUGGACGCCAGUCUGCGUGGAGCCAACCUUGAAAUACCACCCUUUAAUGUUUGAUGUUCUAACGUUGGCCCCUGACCGGGGUUGCGGACAGUGUCUGGUGGGUAGUUUGACUGGGGCGGUCUCCUCCCAAAGCGUAACGGAGGAGCACGAAGGUUAGCUAAUCCUGGUCGGACAUCAGGAGGUUAGUGCAAUGGCAUAAGCUAGCUUGACUGCGAGCGUGACGGCGCGAGCAGGUGCGAAAGCAGGUCAUAGUGAUCCGGUGGUUCUGAAUGGAAGGGCCAUCGCUCAACGGAUAAAAGGUACUCCGGGGAUAACAGGCUGAUACCGCCCAAGAGUUCAUAUCGACGGCGGUGUUUGGCACCUCGAUGUCGGCUCAUCACAUCCUGGGGCUGAAGUAGGUCCCAAGGGUAUGGCUGUUCGCCAUUUAAAGUGGUACGCGAGCUGGGUUUAGAACGUCGUGAGACAGUUCGGUCCCUAUCUGCCGUGGGCGCUGGAGAAUUGAGGGGGGCUGCUCCUAGUACGAGAGGACCGGAGUGGACGCAUCACUGGUGUUCGGGUUGUCAUGCCAAUGGCACUGCCCGGUAGCUAAAUGCGGAAGAGAUAAGUGCUGAAAGCAUCUAAGCACGAAACUUGCCCCGAGAUGAGUUCUCCCUGAGACUUUAAGUCUCCUGAAGGAACGUUAAAGACGAUGACGUUGAUAGGCCGGGUGUGUAAGCGCAGCGAUGCGUUGAGCUAACCGGUACUAAUGAACCGUGAGGCUUAACCUU
RNAcentral lists this ribosomal RNA (2900 nucleotides) under Klebsiella pneumoniae UCI 62. RNAcentral describes it as "bacterial LSU rRNA". It matches the Rfam family "Bacterial large subunit ribosomal RNA". Lineage: Bacteria; Pseudomonadati; Pseudomonadota; Gammaproteobacteria; Enterobacterales; Enterobacteriaceae. The record is from RNAcentral.